RNAcentral lists this long non-coding RNA (42544 nucleotides) under Triticum aestivum (bread wheat). RNAcentral's name for it is "long non-coding RNA (TAES_LNC003154)". The stretch from base 22747 to 22870 matches the Rfam family "MIR1120/MIR1122 microRNA precursor family". The record is from RNAcentral. Lineage: Eukaryota; Viridiplantae; Streptophyta; Magnoliopsida; Poales; Poaceae.
UUCCAUGAAAGUACCCCCCCCCCCACCCCGUGGCGGAAUCUAAAAGGUUACAAGAAACAAAAUUCAACCCCGCAUAAUUUUUUUGUAUGAUCAUCCAAAGAUUUAACACAAGAGUUGGGCAAUUCCUUAGCAUCAAUUUCAUCCUUUCCCAAGAUUGUGCAACAUGCUCAUGUUCAAGUUGCUUGAAAUUCAUGAUAUGGGUUCUAAGGGAAAUGAUUACGGGCGGAAAAUACUUGGUAAUAAAAGUAUCCUUGCGUUUGUUCCAAGAACCGAUACUAUUGCGAGGCAAAGAAGAAAACCAAAUUUUUGCACGAUCUCACAAAGAAAACGGAAAUAAUUUCAACUUCACAACAUCAUUGUACACAUCGUUUUUCUUUUGCAUAUCACAUAAUUCCAUGAAUGUGUUAAGAUGGGACGCGGCAUCCUCAUUAGAAGUACCGGCAAAUUGAUCUUUCGUAACAAGAUUCAACAAAGCAGUAUUAAUAUCACAAGACUUCGCACUAGUGGCGGGAGGAGCAAUCAGAGUGCUGAUAAAAUCAUUGUUGUUGAUAUUUGAGAAAUUACACAACUUGGUGUUCUCUUGAGUCAUGGUGACUUCACAACAAGAUUGCACUCAAAAACAGAUCUCACAAGAAAACGGCGAACAAAAAAGAGGGCAAAUAAAACAGCAACUUUUUGUGAAGUGGGGGAGAGGAAAACGAGAGGCAAAUGGCAAAUAAUGUAAAUUGCAAGGAGAUGAGAUUUGUGAUUAGGAUCCUGGUUGAUGUUGAUGAUCCUCCCGGCAAUGGCGCCAGAAAUUCCUUUUGAUGCCUGCUUGAACUAUGUUGGUAUUUCCCCAAAGAGUAAGGGAUGAUGCAGCACAACGGUGGUAGGUAUUUCCCUCAGAGAUGAGACCAAGGUUAUCGAACCAGUAGGAGAACCAAGCAACACAACGUAAACAGCCCCUGCACACAAAUAACAAAUGCUCGCAACCCGACGUGUUAAAGGGGUUGUCAAUCCCUUUAGGGUAACGAUGCCUUGAAUUUGCAAGAAGACGUGAUAAAGUUGUGACAGAUAGGAUAAAUAGAUCGUGAAAUAAAUAAAGUGCAGAAAGGUAAUUUUGUAUUUUUGGUUUAAUAGAACUGAAAAAUAAAAGCAAAGGAAAAUAGAUCACAAAGGCAAAUAUGAUGAAAAGAGAGCCGGGGCCUUAGGUUUCACUGGUGGCUUCUCUCGAGAAAAAUAGCAAAUCAUGGGAAAACAAUUACUUUUGGGCAAUUGAUAGAACUUCAAAUAAUCAUGACGAUAUCCAUGCAAUGAUCAUUAUAUAGGCAUCACGUCCAAGAUUAGUGGACCGACCCCUGCCUGCAUCUACUACUAUUACUCCACACAUCGACCGCUAUCCAGCAUGCAUCUAGUGUAUUAAGUUCGUGGAAAAACGAAGUAAUGCAAUAAGAACAAUGACAUGAUGUAGACAAGAUUUGUUUAUAUAGAAAUAUAUCCUAUCUUGUUAUCCUUAAUAGCAACGAUACAUACAUGUCAUUUCCCCUUCUGUCACUGGGAUCCUUAAGAUCGAACCCAUCACAAAACACCUCUUACCAUUGCAAGAUAAAUAGAUCAAGUUGGCCAAACAAAACCCAAAUAUCGAAGAAGAAAUACGAGGCUAUAAUCAAUCAUGCAUAUAAGAGAUUAAAGAAGACUCAAAUAACUUUCAUGGAGAAAAACAUAGGUCUGAUCAUAAACUUAAAGUUCAUCGGAUCCCAACAAAAACACCGCAAAAAGAUGUACAUCAUAUAUAUGGAUCUCCAAGAGACCAUUGUAUUGAGAAUCAAGAGAGAGAGAGAGAGAGAGAGGAAGCCAUCUAGCUACUAACUACGGACCCAUAGGUCUACAAAGAACUACCCACGCAUCAUUGGAGAGGCACCAAUGGACAUGAUGAACCCCUCCAUGAUGGUGUCUAGAUUGGAUCUGGUGUUUCUGGAACUUGCGGCAGCUGGAAUUGAUUUUCGUCGACUCCCCUGGGGUUUCUAGAAUAUUGGGGUAUUUAUAGAGCAAAGAGGCGGUGUGGGAGGCCACCGAGGUGGGCACAACCCACUUGGGUGCGCCUGAGCCUCCAGGCGUGCCCUAGUGGGUUGUGAUCCCGUCGGAUCUCCCCUCAGGUACUUCCUUGGCCCACUGGAUGUCUUCUGGUCCAAAAAAAUCCGCAAAAAGUUUUGUUGUGUUUGGACUCCGUUUGGUAUUGCUUUCCUGUGAUGUAAAAAACAAGCAGAAAACAACAACUGGCACUGGGCACUAUGUCAAUAGGUUAGUACCAAUGUUUUUCAAAAUGAUUGUAAAACAUCCAAGAAUGAUAAUAUAAUAGCAUGGAACAAUAAAAAAUUAUAGAUAUGUUGGAGACGUAUCACAAAGCAUCAGGUCUGCAUAAAUUGUGCAACAAGGGAAGUUACAUUAACAAAUCCGGCAGGACAGACAACAAGGUUUGUGGCUCGUAGGACCAUACCUAAGAAGGAAAUGGUUUUUACAACAAUAUCCUCAGAUGUGGAAUUAGUACCAGUGGUCAGUGAGUUUCCAGUUGUGUUCCUUGAAGAAUUACCAGGAAUGCCACCAGAACGGGAACUCGAGUUUGCCAUUGAUCUCGUGCCUGGAACGGCACCUACAAACAAGGAAUAUUACCGGAUGCCUUCAUCCGUACUGGUUGAUCUAAAGAAACAACUCAAUGAAAUGCUCAAGAAAGGAUACAUCCGGCCCAGUUCUUCGCCCUGGUGGUCACCUGCCAUAUUCGUGAACAAGAAGGAUGGUAGUCUUUUAAUGUGCAUAGACUAUCGUCAGCUCAACGAUGUUACUAUCAAGAACAAGUACCCGCUCCCUAGAAUUGAUGAUUUGUUCGAUCAACUGCAUGGAUCUCAAAUCUUUUCCAAGACUGAUUUAAGGAAUGGGUAUCAUCAACUCAAGAUCAAGAAAGAUGAUAUUCCUAAGACCGUAUUCACCACCCGUUACGGUCUAUAUGAAUACACAGUUAUGUCAUUCAGGCUAACCAAUGCUCCUGCAUUUUUCAUGCAUAUGAUGAACAAAGUGGUCAUGGAUUUCUUGGACAAAUUUAUGGUGGUCUUUAUCGACGAUAUUCUCAUAUACUCCAAAGGAUAAGAAGAGCAUAAACAACAUCUUCGAGCAGUAUUGCAAAGGCUUCAUGACCACCAGUUAUAUGCAAAAUUCAGUAAGUGUGAAUUCUGGCUUAAGCAAGUCGGAUUUUUGGGGCACAUACUCUACGCCGAAGGAAUAGCUGUGAACCCAAGCAAGAUUAAGGAUGUGCUAAAAUGGCCAGCACCUGUGUCAGUGACUGAAAUCAGAAGUUUUCUAGGGCUUGCUGGUUAUUACCGUCGAUUCAUCGAAGGCUUCUCCAAGAUUGCCAAGCCCAUGACAGAACUGCUCAAGAAAGACCAAAAGCUCAUAUGGUCAGAAGAUUGUGAGAAGAGCUUUAACGAAUUAAAGACUCGUUUGACCUCAGCACCUGUGUUGACACUCCUAGACAUCUAUCGAAGCUUUGAUGUAUAUUGUGAUGCAUCUCGAAAGGGCCUAGUAUGCGUACUCAUGCAAGAUGACAAGGUUGUGGCUUAUGCAUCCCGUCACCUAUGACCACACGAAGAAAAUUAUCUUACACAUGACUUGGAACUAGCAGCCGUUGUGCAUGCACUAAAAAUUUGGAGGCACUAUCUCAUUGGCAAGCGGUGCUAAAUAUUCACCGACCACAAAAGUCUCAAGUAUAUAUUUACUCAACCUGAUUUGAAUCUUCGACAAAGAAGAUGGCUUGAGUUGGUCAAGGAUUAUGACCUCGGGAUAAACUAUCAUCCGAGUAAAGCUAACGUGGUCGCAGAUGCUCUCAGCCACAAGCCAGCCACAGUCAAUGCCUUGAUAACAUCUUUGCCUCCCGAGCUACAAGAAGAGAUGGCCCAACUCAAUCUGAUUAUUGUGGAGGCUUACUGCACCAAUAUGAUGGUAGUCACUCCCAUUCUUGAAGAAGAAAUUCGCAAAGCUCAGUCGGGAGAUACGUUCCUGCAACACCAAGUCACCCGAAUAAAAGACGGCAAGAUUCAAGAUUUCCUGAUGGAUGAGUAGGGUACCCUACGAUUUUGAGGACGAGUAUGUGUACCCAAAGUGGAAGAGUUGAGGAAAAAGAUAUUGAUAGAAGCACACGACUCCUCAUACUCGAUCCAUCCCAGAGGUACCAAAAUGUACAAGGACCUCAAGCAAACGUUUUGGCGGGAUGGAAUGAAGAAGGAUAUUGCACACUUCGUCGCCUGCUGUGAUAUAUGCAAUAGGGUUAAGGCGGAACAUCAAAAACCCACCGGGCUACUUCAACCUUUGCCCGUUCCACAAUGGAAAUGGGAUGAUGUCUGCAUGGACUUUAUCACCGGUCUUCCAACCACCCCUCUUGGAAACAACGCUAUAUGGGUCGUGGUGGACAUGCUACCCAAAGUGGCCCAUUUCAUUCCUAUCUAGACCACAUACCGUGCAAAUCAACUGGCACAAUUCUAUGUGUCCUGAAUCAUCAGUUUGCAUGGCGUAUCUAGAACUAUCAACUCAGAUCGAGGAUCCCUUUUUACCUCGACAUUCUAGUCACGUCUUCACCAAGCCUUGGGGACAUCACUAAAAUAUAGCACAACUUAUAAUCCUCAGACAAAUGGUCAGACGGAGCGAGUAAAUCAAAUACUCGAAGACAUGCUUAGGGCAUGUGCUCUCGCUCAAGGACCUAAGUGGGAAGACAGCUUACCCUACGCUGAGUCUUCCUACAACAACAACUAUCAAGCCAGCAUCAAGAUGUCACCAUAUGAAGCCUUGUAUGGACGCAAGUGUCGUACCCCCUUAAACUGGUCCCAGACUGGAGACAGUCAUAUUUUCGGGACUGACUUGAUGAUGGAAGCCGAGAAGCAAGUCAGGGAAAUCUGAGACAGAUUACAGCUAGCCAAGUCUCGAAAGAAGUGCUACUAUGAUGCUAAGCACCGACAGAUCGGUUUUGAACCUGGUGAAUAUGUCUACCUUCGAGUCACACCUAUGAAAGGAGUCAAGAGAUUUUAGACUCGGGGAAAGCUUGCACCAAGGUGCAUUGGCCCAUUCCCAGUUAUGUCCAAAGUUGGCACAGUGGCAUAUCAGUUGGAACUUCCCCCGGAGCUGUCAGAGAUACAUAAUGUCUUCCACGUAUCCCAACAAUGGAAAUGGGAUGAUGUCUGCAUGGACUUUAUCACCGGUCUUCCAACCACCCCUCUUGGAAACAACGCUAUAUGGGUCAUGGUGGACAUGCUACCCAAAGUGGCCCAUUUCAUUCCUAUCUAGACCACAUACCGUGCAAAUCAACUGGCACAAUUCUAUGUGUCCUGAAUCAUCAGUUUGCAUGGCGUAUCUAGAACUAUCAACUCAGAUCGAGGAUCCCUUUUUACCUCGACAUUCUGGUCACGUCUUCAUCAAGCCUUGGGGACAUCACUAAAAUAUAGCACAACUUAUAAUCCUCAGACAAAUGGUCAGACGGAGCGAGUAAAUCAAAUACUCGAAGAUAUGCUUAGGGCAUGUGCUCUCGCUCAAGGACCUAAGUGGGAAGACAGCUUACCCUACGUUGAGUCUUCCUACAACAACAACUAUCAAGCCAGCCUCAAGAUGUCAUCAUAUGAAGCCUUGUAUGGACGCAAGUGUCGUACCCCCUUAAACUGGUCCCAGACCGGAGACAGUCAUAUUUUCGGGACUGACUUGAUGAUGGAAGCCGAGAAGCAAGUCAGGGAAAUCUGAGACAGAUUACAACUAGCCAAGUCUCGAAAGAAGCGCUACUAUGAUGCUAAGCACCGACAGAUCGGUUUUGAACCUGGUGAAUAUGUCUACCUCCGAGUCACACCUAUGAAAGGAGUCAAGAGAUUUGAGACUCGGGGAAAGCUUGCACCAAGGUGCAUUGGCCCAUUCCCAGUUAUGUCCAAAGUUGGCACAGUGGCAUAUCAGUUGGAACUUCCCCCGGAGCUGUCAGAGAUACAUAAUGUAUUCCACGUAUCCCAGUUGUGAAAGUGUAUCUCACCGCCUGAGAAAUAGACCGAUAUGGCAGAAAUAGAACUUGCUAAGGAUCUGACAUAUGAAGAGAAACCUUUCCGAAUAUUGGAUGAGAUGGAAAGAGUCACCCGCAGCAAGUCAGUUAAGUUCUAUAAAGUGCAGUGGGAACACCACACCGAAAGUGAAGCUACCUGGGAAAGAGAGGACUUUUUAAGGACAACUUAUCCUGAAUUGUUUCCUAAGCAACCGAAUCUCGAGGACGAGAUUCAUCUGAAGGGGGAGGUUUGUGACACCGUGGUUUUUGUCCUUCUUUCUUUUUCUGGAUUUAUUUGCAUUUUUGAUUUGAAUUUGAGUUUGAAUCAACUCAUUUGGACUUAAUCACUUGAGCAUUUCCUUAAAUUUCACCCAAGUGACUCAUCUAACUCUCAAACUCAUCUCUCUCUGAUAUAUCAUAAAAUGUCCAAGGGAAUAUUUUUCUUAAAUGAAAAAUAUUCAUUUUCCCUUUCAAAUAGUACUUCAGUCACUUAUGCUCCAAAGCAACCCUCAUUUUUCUUACUCACAAAAUUUUGAGAAAAUUUCUGAAUAUUCUUUGGACCUUGACACACCUCCCUGUGCAAAAAUAUUGCAUGGUUAUUUGGAAUAUUUUUGCUACAGAAAAUCUUUUCUGUUCUGGAUAGAAAAUGCAUGUUGUAAAGGAAGUGCAUUUUCCUUGACCCAAUGAAGCUGAAUUUUUUUAGGGAUUUAUUACCCUCCUAAGAGACCCUUAACCACAAAAAAUCAGCUCUUAACUCUUUCUAGAUUCUUCUCUAUUAAGCUCACAAGUUUCUGUCCAGAAACUUGUAAAGAGUCUACAGCCUCACCCAGUCGACUUGUGCUUAAAUCAGAUGCAUGGAUCGAACUAGCCUUGCACGAACAACACCCCAGACAUGAAUUUAAUGCACUGUGUGGCGUGAUGCCAGAUUUCACGCGGUGACCAUGCGUGGGCAUGGUGCAGGCAGCUAGUCGACGCGCUCUGGGUGCCGCUGGCGCCUCCGUUUUGCCCGUGCGCGCGCCCGAGGCCAAACCACUUCGCCACUAAGUGCCUGCUACCUCGCCUCAUCACCCUCGACCUCUCACUACCGCUCGCCGACGCUGGAGCUCGCCACAGCGAUCACGAGCACGUCGUGCCCAACCGCACAGUGAGCCCGUGCUCACUUUUGUUGUCUCCUCCCGCGCUUGUGCUUGUCUCCGUCCUCUCACAGUGGCCGCGUGAUCCCUGGCCACUUCCCCCUCUCUCACUGGCGCCCCUCGUCGCCGUGCGCCGCUUCCAGAGUCUCCGACAAGCACUCGAUACCCGCCUCGGCUCCGCCUAUAAAUAGGACCCUCCCGACCUCAUUCGACCUCACCGCUCCACUCCUCUGGCACCCACACUCCUCCUAGAUAGCCGCAGCCCGGCCGGGCAGGCCUCUGGCCACCAUCCCCGUCCCGAGCUCGCCCGCAAUCCCCUUCCUAUGCCCCUCCCCACUCCACUACCUCUCGAGCUCCACUGAUUGCACAUGUGUGUUCCUUGUGGUCCAUUGGUGCUCGCUAACGCCUCUAGAGCCGCCGGAACGACCUCUCGACGUUAGCGUCUUCUUCUCCGACAAGCUCCGCCCGCUACAGCCGCUGGAGAUGACCACGCCAACCUCAUCCGUCCACCUCUCGCCAAGCUACGGGUACGUGCGGGUGCACCGAAGUCUUGCGCCUCGAUCCCUUCCUUCCCCGAUGAUCGCCGACCUCUCCUCGCCAGAGAAACGCCGGCGACGCGUCGCCCCUCCUUUGUUUCUCUCUCCCUCUCACUAAAACUGACGCGCGGGGCCCGCUGUCAGCCUCACCACUCGCACCCGAAGCGGUACGAGUGGAGGCGUAUUCACUGAAAUACGCCUUCGAUGUCACCCUCUGGAUUUUUCAAAAAUCAAUUUAAAUUCAGAAUAUUGAUUGAACUUUGACCAACUAUAACUUUUAUUCUAUAAGUCCAAAUGACCUAAUUCUUUUUGCAUUGGUUUUGUGUUGAAUUCUCUAUCAACAUGCAAAAGAUGAGAUUUUUGCUUUCUAAGAUUAUUUUUUGGUGAACUAAACAGUGUUAUGUGACAUUUUCUUUUUGUUAUUUUAAUUAUCUUCAGAAGGGAUUUCUUGCCUUGAAGAUCACCAGAGGGAGUGUGACCCUCCUCUGCACUAAGGCAAGCCAUCGCAAAUAUUUACAAGAGUGUCAUUUCCAUCACUAUGGUUUUUACUUGAAUAUGGUUAUUUUAAAUGCAUAUAGAAACUUCAUAUAAAGUAUUUGAUGAUAAUUUCAUGUUUAUGCCAUAUUGUUCUGUUACAGUAGCAUUUUAGUUGGAUAACUAAGUCUAUGCAGUGGAGUAAUGUGAUGAUAUGCUUGAGUUAGCUCAUAUCGGUAUUACAUUGAUAAGAUGCUUAUAUGGUUCAUUGCAUUUUCAUGGCAUACUAUGACUCAGUAAAUAUUUGCAAGUUGAAACCUGAUAAUAAACCAACUUGAACUUGUUGUUGAUCGAGUCAUGGUGCCACUGAAUUGAGCUUCCCUAAGUGCAACCACAUUUGCCUUAUGUGGGGCCCUUUCUCGGUCUGUUGUUAUGCCUCUCGCCGGUGCCUCCAACGAGGGAAGGUUAUUCGCUGGCGCUACCCUGGCCCGGUUGGGUGCCCAUAGUUGUUUUGGUACCAUGUCCCAGUUUGGGACGAUUGUUUUUGCCACCGUCGUCCGGAGUGUCAUCGAGGCCACCCAUGACUUAGCCCAAAGGGGAGUUGGUCGGAGUGGCCGGGAGAGUGUCGUGUCAAUAGGAUGGUUCUGUUGGACCGCCGUUGGUCCACCCGAAUGGGAGUCCGAGGCCAUGGGUUCCGUGGUGUGGAUACAGUACUAAGCUCUGCAGAGUGUGUAUAAUCUAUCGAUAGUUGUGUCCUCAGUUAUGGACACAAGUUCGUAGUAGGUCAUACCGUGGAUCAACAAAAAUAUUAAAAGCUUGCACACUAAGUUAAUACUUGUGGCACUGGUUAUGUUGGUGAAGUUUUUGAGACCAUUGAGAUGGUUUCAUUUGUGAUCAUGAAGUGAUCACCUUGAUACGAUGAGGUUCAUGGUUAUGAGGUAACCAAGAUGGUAAGCAGGUCAGAAAGCCCCUGUUAUGAGCACUAUCACUUCAUGAAAGCAUGUUGAAUUCUUGCAUUAAACCUUCUUAAAUAUCAUUGUUGUUGGUUGCCAUUGUUGCUUUGUUUGUGUGAGAUUGCUAGUACAUUCAAUGUAUUGACCUGGCAUGUCAUGCCAGUUUAAGGAGAAAUCAUAUCGGAGUUGGAGUUGCAUAUUGCAUUGCCUCCUAGACCGUGUCCACAUCAGUGUCCCUAUGAGAUGGAGUUCUUCUACGUCGUCGUUCCGCUGCCUCGUAGUCUUAUCGUGAUGUCGAGGCCCAUGCUCAUGUCUUCUAAAUAAUGUACAUAUGUUCAGCAGGACCGUGUGUGCCGCUUGGCCUCGCUACUUGAUGUAAUAUCGGACUCUAUGUUCCGCUAGUAUCAAUAAAGCAGUUGUAUUUCUGUACCAAUCUGUUGUGUGUUGCCAGAAGACAUGAUCUCUGGGCUGGCAAUGCAAGGCGAAUCGGUCGCUCUGAGCUAGGGUGCCACAUAUUAUAAGAAAGUAAAUGAAACACUCUCAAAAUUAUACACAAUAGCUUGAGCAGCACGUAUAGAUGCAUACUUUCAUGCAUACAUACACACACUAUGUACUCGACAUUAACGUGUCCUCCCAUCGAAUGAACAUCUUCGAAAAGACUAUACUAGUUUUUUUUGUCCAUCGAAGAUGUAACAAUGCCCGUCUACCAACCUAAAGAAGUGACUACACUAGUUGUGCUUGUCAAUACGGUGAUGGUGAAUGCUGCACAUGGGGCAUGCACAUGUGACGAGUUGCCUCCUCGUCUACGCACCAAGUGUGCAUGUUGCUCCGUGUAAUGAAGCCAAAUGAUGCAUUCCCUACACCUCAUUUGGCUCCAUUACAUAGUGCAACAGGCAAGCUGGUGGUGCCUGAAAAGAGCAAUGAGCGCUAGCUUUAUCAUGGCAACGCUGCAAGAUGGCGAUGGGAUCCUCCUUCGCAGCCAUCUAUUUCGAGAGCGGUGCCAAGACCGACCGGCCAUGGAUGUUGAGCAUCAAGGAAAUGGUGAGUUAUUCAGAUAUGACAAUGGAGUGGGUUGGGGGAGGCUGAAAGAGAAUGAGCUAACUGGUCAUGGUGGCGGUCAUCUAUUCAACCAUGGCAGUGGAUGUGGAGGCUAUGAGGAUAGAGGAUGAGUUGAUUGGUCAUGGUGAGGGUCUUAUUAUAGCCAUGGGCGGCGGGCGCCGGGCGCAAAAAGUGGCGGCAAAAGUUGGCGGGCGGAGGGGGAAAGUGGCGUCAAUGCUCGAUGGUAGUUGGCAUGCACCGACCGCUAUUAAUCGACAUGCAGCAGCACUGAAACAUUGUGUCUGCCUUCGUCGGGCGAUGAGAUGUGCCACGCGGACCGGUAGACUAUGCUAGAGAUUCUAUAAGUAAACAAGUACCGGCAAUUUGUUCAAUAACAGAUCAAUGCAGUACUGGCAAUGCAGUAUGUACUGUCUUCUGGACUUCCUGUGUUCGAGCCACAGGAAGCACAAUUUUUUUGCCCAUUUUAGAUUAAUUAGAGAAUGUAGGGUUUUCCCAAAUUUUCGCAAGCACUAUCAGAAAGUAGAUUGACAACUUUCAGAAAAAUUUCUACGUAGACUUUCAACACUAGAUUAGUCAGCAUAAAAAACAUCAGUUAUUUUUCUUAUUAUAUUUCAAGACAUUGCCACACUCAAUAUUAUCUGUAGCACUACUUACCGUCCCUGAAAAUGGACAUGCCUAGUGACACCCAAUACCGUCGCCCAAAAUCAUGCCAGAACGUCGCCAAAGUUGGCUAGGGUGCUGCCCCGCGAGGAAAACACCUCAUGACGGUGGACCAUCACAGAAAGUGAUUUUAGGCGACGUUUCCUGUUUCGUCGCCAGGGUUUUUGUCACUAAAUAGACAAAAUUUUGUAGUGUGAGGUUCAACAAUGCCUCCAACUUGACUGAAUGGCCCUUCAAUCCUGGAAUCGCACUAAGGAAAACACACCAGGAGUGAAUUCAUGGUGCCAUCAGUAGAGUUAAGGGCAUUGGAUCCUUAGGUUAAUGUAGGGUUGUAAAGUUUUUAACGGUUUCUCUCUUUCCCCCGGGAAUGCACGUUUCCCUUUGCUGUGGGAAAGAACUUUUGCAAUAGGUUUGUUCCCUUAUUACCCCUGUCGGGAAGAAUGUUCCGAUAUAUCGCGCGGCCUCGCUUCAUUCUCAAUGCCGACAUAGAUGAUAAAUACGAGGUUUUAGACACAGUGCUUUCAAACAUAAACCGACUCAUACAAAAUGAAAGGCCGCUCAAAGAACACCCUCCAGAAUAAAGAAAAGGUGGGGCCCAUCAAGUUACACUAUAAGCAGAAAAAGUAUCCAGCUAAAACUAGAGCGUUCACAAUGUACAUUCCAUUUCCCGAGUCAUGGGUCGAGGUGGUAUUUUAGAGAACUAGAAAUACAGUCACCACACUGAUUCUUAAACUUAUAGCUUAACGGGAUGGUGAUGUUGGCUUGAACUACGUCGGUAUUUCCCCAAAAAGGAAGGAAUGAUGCAGCACUGUGACGGUAGGUAUUUCCCUCAGUGAUGACACCAAGGUUAUCGAACCAGUAGGAUAAUCACGCAACACCACGUAAACAACUCCUACACACAAACAACAAAUACUUGCAACCUGACAUAAGAGAGGGGUUGUCAAUCCCUCACGGGUAAAAAGAUAGAUAAAAUUGUAGUAGGUUGGAUAAAUAGAUCUCGCGGGAACGCGAGAUAAAAUAAAUUACUAAAAAUUGCAGCAAGGUAUUUUUGUAUUAGUAGAACUGAAAAUAAAAGCAAAUAAAAAUAGAUCUCGAAGGCAAAUAUGAUAAGAAGAGACCCGGGGGUCGUAGAUUUCACUAGUGGCUUCUCUCGAGAAAAAUAGCAUGCGGUGGGUAAAGAAAUUACUGUUGGGCAAUUGAUAGAACUUAAUAAUGACGAUAUCCAGGCAAUGAUCAUUAUAUAGGCAUCACAUCCAAGAUUAGUAGACUGACUCCUGCCUGCAUCUACUACUAUUACUCCACACAUCGACCGCUAUCCAGCAUGCAUCUAGUGUAUUAAGUUCAUGGAGAACCGGUGUAAUGCAAUAAGAAUGAUGACAUGAUGUAGACAAGAUCUAUUUAUGUAGAAAGAGACCCCAUCUUGUUAUCCUUAAUAGCAACGAUACAUACGUGUCGGUUCCCCUUCUAUCACUGGGAUCAAGCACCGUAAGAUCGAACCCAUCACAAAGCACCUCUUCCCAUGGCAAGAAAAAUCGAUCUAGUUCGCAUAACUAAACCAAAGAUUCGAAGAAGAAAAAGGAGGCUAUAAGUAAUCAUGCAUAUAAGAGAUCAAAGGGACUCAAAUAAUUUUCAUGGAUAAAAACAUAGAUCUGAUCAUAAACUCAAAGUUCAUCGGAUCCCAACAAACACACCGCAAAAAAGAGUUACAGCAAAUAGAUCUCCAAGAGACCAUUGUAUUUAGAACCAAGAGAGAGAGAGAGAGAAAGCCAUCUAGCUACUAACUACGGACCCGAAGGUAUACAAUGAACUACUCACGCAUCAACGGAGAGGCACCAAUGAGGAUGAUGAACCCCUCCAUGAUGGUGUUUAGAUUGGAUCUGGUGGUUUUGGAACUUGCUACGGUUGGAAUUGAUUUUCGUCGACUCCCCUAGGGUUUUUGGAAUAUUGGCGUAUUUAUAGAGCAAAGAGGCGGUGCGGGAGGUCACCGAGGUGGGCACAACCCACCUGGGCGCGCCCAGGUGUCUUGUGCUCACCUCGGGGCCCCUCUUUGGUACUUCCUUGGCCCACUAGGUGUAUUCUGGUCCAAAAAAUCCAUAAAAAGUUUCCCUGCAUUUGGACUCCGUUUGGUAUUGAUUUCCUGCGAUGUAAAAAACAAGCAGAAAAGAGUAACUGGCACUGGGCACUAUGUCAAUAGGUUAGUCCCAAAGAAUGAUAUAAAGUUGUUAUAAAAUGAUGGUAAAAAUCGAAGAAUGAUAAUAUAACAGCAUGAAACAAUAAAAAAAAUUAUAGAUACAACGCUAUCAGACGGUCGCACUUCAUAUUCUGGAACACGCGUUCUCGGCACAUGUUCGCAUGAGGUAAUGGCUUAACGCCUACAUAAUUUUUUAACAGGAGUGCUUGGCUUAUUCAACACACAAGGUGUUGGAUCUUGACUCCAAAGGGGUGCUUUAGUGCUUGUUAAUCAGGCGCCAGUCAGGUCAAGGUCCAUGCUAACCGUGUGGAACCCAUCUCCAGCCCGAUCAAUCUUGAUGACGAAGGAGUUCAUUAGUUCGACUGGCCUCCCAAAUAGCUCUGGCCCCAUGAACGUUGGCUGUAGCGCUAACCCGGGUCUCGUAACAACAAGCCGGUGUCCGCCAGCCCCCCAAAGGUUGCUGGCUUCCUCCGCCCGGGUGCACUUUAAGCAAGAGCAUAAAGCUCUCCUAUGGUGUGCACCUAGUGAGCCGCCAUUGCUUCGCGUACCCUAGCGUUGCGGAUGUUCAAGUAGAAGGUCGUGAUGAUGAAGGCAGCAAGCAGCCCGUGGAUUCCAUCCUCCACCCGACGAAAGCGUUGGAUGUACUCCCGAAGUGACUCGCCUGGUUUCUGCUUGAGGUAGCGAGCGAGAUGUAGGUGGGACGAGCCACUGCGAGAUCCUUCCAUCGAUGAGGCACCUCGGCGGUAGCCACGCGGGGGGCACCACAGGUGAUGUCCCACCUUGCCGCUAGUGGGAGCGAACCGCACAGCCUGGGGCUUGCCAGACAUGUGGUCCUUCUGGGGGCGAGUCGGGGCAAUCUCUUUUCGCCGAUAGGGAUGAAGCUUCUGCGGGUGCCUGGAACGCGUGGCUAUAGCCUUAGGCAGCCACACCUUGGCCAUCCUUGCUUGGUGAUGAAGGGGUUGAUGAAGAUGACGAUAGAUGUGGCAUCGCAAGAGACUCUGACAGCUUUGUCGAUGUAGAUCUGUACGAGCGCCCCCUACCUGGCACGCAAGAUGUCGAUGGGCAUGUGCAAAACACACGCGUGAUAUCGUGGAUUGGAGACGUCCUUUUGCUAGUUUGUGUAUGGGGCGCGAAGGUGAGGAACUACACUACCUAAAUGCAAGAUCUGACACGAUGAUUUACUUAGGUUCAGGCCACAUGGUUGCGUAAUACCCUACUCCUGCUUUGUGUGUGUUUAUGUUUGGUGGAUGGUGAUCUACAAGUCCUUGUCGGGAACAUGAAGCAUUGUGUGCUCCUACCGGUAUUCUAUCAAAUUUCCAACCUUGAAUAGAUCUCUUCUGUCUAGUCUAAAAAAACUUUUUCUCUCUAUAGCCUGGUCCUCCUUUUAUAGCUCAAGAGGUACCACAAUAGCUUAAUUAGCUGCUAAAGAACUACCCUAGUUCUGGCCAGGUAGGUGAGUGCAUUAAAUGCUUGCUGAAGUGUCAUCACCUUUUGUCCAGGAACAAACAUUUGUCUUGUCACCGCCAACCAUGGUACCACCUGUGUGGGGAGUGACACGCCUCGGUACAGGUCUAUGCCAUGUGGCGGGAUGGGAGAGUGAUUCCCCCCUUGUGUCUUGUCCAUCUUCUGGCACACCUGCCCAUCUACCACGUGGCGCAGGGGCUCUGCAAGCGUAGAACAACCGCGCCAUGCAUGGGUGAGGCAAUAGCUUGCUGUCAAAGGCUUAGUGAGUGCGAGCCAACUGGGGAUGGUUGUGUCGGACAAGGUCGUUCUCAGGUCUUGGCCGGCGGGUGCUAUUGCAGGGUAGUUUGCUUCAAUCUUGCUUCUUCCUUGGCUUGGAUGGUCUUGAAUGACAGCCAUGUAGAUCUUCUUAGACAAAGAUCAGCAUGCCACCACAGAGCCUUGGCUCCCUCAGAAGAGGUUGCUUGAUGUAGUUCUUCACGAGGAUCUGCAUACCACCAUUGGUUUAGAAGAGAAAACCAGUGACAAGUAAUUCGUUCUUCAUCUUGAAUCUAAUCCAAGGGUGACCGUGGCACACGUGUGGUUGGGUCUAUGAACCCAGUUGUCACGGUACCAACACUCAGUCACGCAAUCAGCUGGGGGUCAACUGGCGCAUUGGCUCUAGCCGAGUGGGAUGGCCUCCAGCUGUCCAAUCAGUAGUCUCUAUGACCGCAUAAGGGAUCGAGAACCAUGUGCCCGGCCGCAUGGACCAACGUGUCGGAGCCGGAUGUCCAGUGGCAAACGAAGCAAUAAAUUAAUUGUGUCCAGUGUGGGGCCCAUUAAAUUUGGUGCUUUCUUCUUGGUCCUGCGGGACCAGACUUUCUAGUAGGUUAAAUUUUUGUGGUAUCUCAAAUUCCCCGCCGCUGAACAGACUGUCUGGUCCAGAUCGACUAGGCUGUCCGGUAGUGCAUUUUUUUUACUAAAACGGCUAGUUUUCACCUACCACUCUCUAGUUAGGGUUACCCUUUGAGCAUAUUGCAUACCAAUUCGCCAUACUUCUUCUCCACCUAUCACAAACCCUAAUUCUUCGAUUCUUUGGGAGGGUCCUGGGGAGAUUCAAGGGGAAAGAAUACGAAAACAAGAUCUACUAAUUCCUCACACUUUGUGUAGGGUAAUGCAGCAGACGACAAAAAAAAUCUUUACUAUGUACAUGUACAGGACCACUAUGAAGAUGAAUACAAAGUUUGAUCUGAUCAUUACCAACUGGUAGCAAUAGCAGAACAAGAGUCGGUGAAGAUCAUCAAUGCAGAUUCCCGCAGUUAGGAUUUUACAACCUCCCAACCACUUGAAUAUUUCAACCCUUGAAGAGAAGAUCGAACGUAUGAUCUCUCUAAUGGGUUGCACACAUACGGUGUCACCGAUCUAGCGACACUUUGACGCCAAUAACUAAUAGCUACCGGAGACUAGGCAGCCUUGUGGCAGAACAAAACUAUUUCGUGGAGGACAAGGGAGAGAGAGAGAGAGAGAGAGAGAGAGUAGAUCAUUGCAUGCCAUUGUUGGUGAACUUGAGAUAUCUUGGAGAUCUCAUAUCCUCCUUUAUUUACAUGGGAAGGAAGGGGUGGGGGAGGCAAGGAAGUGGCUGCCCAAAGGGGCCCCCCUCCACAAACAUCACCCCACAAAAGGGNNNNNNNNNNNNNNNNNNNNNNNNNNNNNNNNNNNNNNNNNNNNNNNNNNNNNNNNNNNNNNNNNNNNNNNNNNNNNNNNNNNNNNNNNNNNNNNNNNNNNNNNNNNNNNNNNNNNNNNNNNNNNNNNNNNNNNNNNNNNNNNNNNNNNNNNNNNNNNNNNNNNNNNNNNNNNNNNNNNNNNNNNNNNNNNNNNNNNNNNNNNNNNNNNNNNNNNNNNNNNNNNNNNNNNNNNNNNNNNNNNNNNNNNNNNNNNNNNNNNNNNNNNNNNNNNNCACAAAAUAGCCCAAAAAAGGUGAUGGUGUCCCCCAUGUGGGAACACCCUCCAUUAGUGUGUUUUUGUGCGAGCUUCCCCUCCGGAAAAUUCCAGGAGGUCCUAGAACUUUAUCGGUACCCUCCAAAAAACUCCAAACAUAUUCUGAAACUUUUCUGGCUUGAUGGUUUACUCCAAAACAUUUUUGGUUUCUCCAAAACACUUCUGAUUUUCUCUCCGAAACAUUUUUAGUGUCUCUAAAACUUUUACGGUGACUUUCUCUUGGGCUCCUAAACUAGUACUCGGCAGAUGGAUGGCCCUUAAAGCGUGUGACCCUGUAGGUUCGAUGAAGUAUAACAUGACUCGGAACAUCUUCUGAUCAAUGAUCAAUAGUGUAACUAUGGACGCCCAUAUUGACCCCUAUACUCACACGAAUAAAAUUCAAAUGAACAUGUAGUUAUUGUGUUCUAUUCCUGUUACUUCGUGAUAUGUUACAAAAACCUGAGGUGAGAUUUAUCGGCAUCCUCUUGAAACAACAAAUUGUUCACUAUGCACGUUUCCCCAUUACCAGUUUUGUUCUCUUUUCUUGUUUUCGUGUUCCGGCAUCCCCGUGAUAAAAUCACAUUGUGUUUGACCAAAUGAUGAUGGGUAUCAUCACACCGAGGGGAGCCUAAGAAUAUCUCUCCAUCGACAGAGGAGCAAAUCCCAGUCUUGAGCUAUCAAGUCUGUUGUCAUACUUUUCCAUGAACCCGUAAGCUGUCAUAAUUGCCAUCGUGUUGUGGAAGGUAUUUGACAAACCGCAAAGUGCACGGAGCAAGUAUGAAGGAACUCGAUACUCUCAUGGUCUAAGGAAUAAUGCAAAUGUUUAACUUUUUGUGUUAUCAACCAACAAUAUAUGACGACAGUAUCUCAUAGCAAUAACAAUCAACCUGGGUAUCUUCAACACAAACAUUCUCUAACAUUGUGUCCUCAAAGUUGUUGGCAUUGACAUGCCCAUGAUCAGGAAAAUGGAACCAUCAUGCAACACUUGAGCUAGUCUUAAAGGCGAGACUAGGAAUCUAUUUUACCGUUUAUUAUUCCACAUGCGCACAUGAUUUUCCCUCCGAGCCUCGUGGUUAUGCUAACUCGAGAACCAUUGUUGUUAUAGCACAGAAUAUAAAUAUUAAGGCAUAUCUCCCCCAAUCACUUUUUGUCUGAGCUUGAUUUCGAUCCUUGGCACUUGUCUUGUGUUCUCUUGGAGAUUGGAUACUCCUAAACGGUAGGAGUUAUUGAGUGAGGAAUUUGUGGUUUACCCCCUAAGAGUUUGUGAAGGUUUGGAGGCGGUCUGAAGGUCUGCUAUUAUUAGGUGGGAAUUGCAUUCGUUUUGAUAUCCCAAGGAGAGUAGGGAGUCUUUGUGGUGUUGGUGUGCCUUUGUGGUAACAACCACCCUCCAACAAUGACUAGCUUCUCUUCAAGGAAAUGAACAUCGGGAUACAUCCUCGUCUUGGUGUAUUUGGUUAUCUCUAACCAUAUCUCCCUAAUAUUCAACUUAUUAUGUCGUAUCGGUUAUCUCAAUGUAGCAAUUCUUUGGGCUCACUUUUAAAAUUUGCAUUGCCUAAACUUGCUAAGGAUCGUGUAAAUUUUUUAAUACCUAUUCACACCUCCGUUAGGUUGUCUUGAUUCUUUCACCAUCAACAAUACAUGAGAUUUUCCAAGCCUGACUAGAGAUCUGUUUGGUGUUUAUUAUUACACACAUGCAAUUAAGUUUUCCUCUUAAUAUCCUAUUCAGGAACCAACACAAUUCUAGCAUAUAAAAUAAACUUAAUCAUAAACAUCGAUAUACAAUAAUAACAACUUUAUUUUAGGGCAUAUUUCCAACACUCCAGUUUGAGGGCGGAGAGUCCAUCACGACCCCGACAGGGUCCUAACACCAGGCCCGGGAUAGGCCUUGAUGAGGAAGGGGGUGAACGAGACAAAGGGGGCAACAUGGGCAACAAUGCCUUCCUAGUUGGUGUCAAAGUCGACCCACCAACAUGGCAUGAACGAGAGGGCCUCGUUGAUGGAUGAUCCAGUGUGAUGGAUACGAUAGUGCUUGAGGCGCCAGAUCCACUGCGGCCGCCAUGACGGAAGUUAUCGAGUUAAAAGGAGCCAUUUGAUCCCCACGCCCCCACUAGUGAGGCACAUGCCGCUACAGAAGAGGAUGCGGCGGCUGUUGCGGCUAGUGCACCACAGGGAAAUGUCACGUCGCCGGUGUGCGGGGUUUGCGAUGACAAGUUGGCGUCCGCUGGGAUGUUCAACUAGUGUUGCGCAUCCUGAUGUGGCAACACUUUCACAGCAAGGCGAGUUGGGGAGGAGGUCGGCUUGGGGAUCCAGACAAGGUGGCAACGGCUAGGGGAGGGGGAGGCGGCUAGGUUUAGGAUAAUGAGGACUUACCGUCGCUAGGAUUUUAUAGCUGAGUACUGUAGGCGGCUCGCUGACAGAUGAUACCAUCUGGCCGCCAUCCACGAGCCACCUCAGGUACUCGAGGAAACAUGCACACCAUUAAUGGGAUGGGUAGUUAACUAUCACAUCGCUCCCUUGCUGGUAAUUCUUUGUUCUUGGUAGAGCAUGUACAAGCAUCAGGAAGCUUCAAACCAGUUCAUGGCGCGAGGAGGAAGAAGAUGAAACUUCCCUCCAGCACGGGCGGUUCGGGAUGGAGCGCGAUGCAAACUAGGCCUCCGCAACAUCAUAUUUGGAGGCUACGAGCUUGUUUUUGGAGGGAUCUCCUUAAAUUAUGGCAAUGGCGUAGCGACUCUACUAGAGUGUCUUCUUGUGUGUUGAUCCUCAUACUAGCGAUUAUUAUGAUGAUCUGUCACAUAUAACACAUCUGCUAGAGUUUCUCUAAGGCCAUUCAUGACACGUUUGCUAGAGUUUCUCUAAGGCCAUUCAUGCACCUAACCGAUGGUCCACGUAUACAUUUAGUAGGAUCAUCAUUCUAGUAAUAUGAAGAAUGUCUCGAUCCAAGAGAUAAUUUUGAUAUGGAACCACCAUGUUAGAUAAUGAGCCAUUUUAGCAACGUGAAGAAUGUCUUGAUCCAAAAAAUCAAUUUGAUAUGGAACCACCAUGUUAGAGGAUAAGGAGAAGAAAAUUGUAUAUGAUGGAGUCGAAUGCUUUAUGAAAAUGAAGUUUAGGAUCAUUGUUCGUGCCUACCUAGAGCGGCAACAAUUUAGAAGGUCGGGCCCGCUUUGCACUGACAUUAACAGUCUUCCAAACUUGCAUCUAUGCCUCCAAGGAAUAGAGGCCUAGAAGAGAUCCAAAGUUUUGUUUUCUUGAGAUGGACCUUGCCUUUAAUGGUCUAGUCGAAUCGGGGGUCCCACAUGACACUGUCAGAAUCGACAUUCCAUUAAAACACUUUAAAAAUAAAACAUUCAGUGAUUUAUUUUGUGAAUUUCCAAAAAUGUUCACAAAUUAUAAAAAUAUUCAUGAAUUUAAACAAUGUUCAUAAAUUUUAAAAUUAUUCAUGAAUAUGAAGAAGGUAUUCACAAAUUCUAAACAUUGUUUACGAGAUUUAUAAUUCUUUAUGAUUUUUGAAAAAUGUUCAUGAAUUUUAAAAAAUAUUGUGGGUUUAAUUAAAGGUCUGUAAACUUUAAAACUGUUAAAUAAUAUGAAAAUAUCUUCACGGGUUCGGAAAAAAUGUUCACAAUUUUGAAGAAAACAUUUUGAAUUUGAAUUUUAAAAGAAUUGAUAUUGCGUUCCUAAAUUUGUAAACAUAUGAAUAAAUUUGAAAAUAUUCGCUAACUAUGAGAAUAAAAAUAUAUAUAAAUGAACAGAAAAUAAAACAUGAAAAAAAUCUGUAGAGAAAAAAGAAAAACCGAAUAAAGGCUUCACAAGCCGGAAGGACCGGCCUACAUGUCCAUCCUUAGUGCCUGCAGGGGAUCGCAUUUCCUCGACCACCAUGUACAUGGAGUGUCAAUUGCCAUAAGAACCUUUGAAAGAAAAAUAAAGUUAAUCUCAAAAUCGAAGAACGGCAUUGUAAAUCACGCGUUAUCCUCCAGUACCUUCGAAAAUUGAUUCAAGCCUUACAAGUGUGGAAAUCCUAGAAUUAUUAUGCUCGUGCCAAUAUUUUCCGAGAUGGAGACAUGCUUGGCCCAGAUCAAUGCCAAAGAAAAUGGCACCGGGAAAGGGAGUCGGCGUCCACAGGAACGCAAGCCAGUUAGCCAUUAGCUGGACACCUCCUUGGCUAUGUGCAGAUUACACACAUCUCCUUUUCGCAGCAAUCGCUUUUUUUUGUCUCCGCCCACUCGCGCGUGCAUCCAGCUUAAAAUGGAUUCAUAUUUGUACGGUGACUCCUCCGGUAAUGGAAAUGAAUUGUUAGUCUUCAAACAACGACACUGAAAACGAAGUUUUUCAACGUGAACGUGACAGUAUUUUUCUUCUUUUGCAGGACUAUGAGGCCUUGUACAAUGCUAGGUGCUUAGUGAGUUUUUCUGAACCACCAACACCUAUUUUUACAUGAGAGGCACCCAAUUAAGCGUCUACCUUUUACAAAUAAGCACCGAUGCUUAAAGAUACACUAGUUUAUUUCUCUAAGCGUCUUGCAUUGUACAAGGCCUGAAGCACUUGCAUUUUGGGCACCUCGAUGGCUUUGGUAUAAGGGUCAGUUCUUUUCAUCUCAGGAUUCUCCAAAAUCUUGAUUCUAGGAAACUGCCCACAGAAUCGUAUGUUCAGUUCUUUUCUAUGAUUCUAGUCUGAUGAUUAUUGUAUGAGUUGUGUGCUGAAAUGCCUGUAACGUUCCUAAAUUGAACUAGGUGAUUAAUUGCUAACACUUGUUUAUUUCUGACAAUUUCAUGUCUAAUAUGAACACAAAGGCAGUUGCAAAUCUCAUAAAGUAUUAAUAUUACAAUAUAAAAGCGAGUUGCAAAUAUCAUAAAGUGCUUAAUAUUACAAUUUAAAACUGAGUUGGAAAUAUCAUAGGCCAGUGGUGGGAUCGUUGUUGUGUCGCCUCGCUGGCCUGGGUUCGACCCCUCUUCAGAUCGAAUUCAGCGUCUCAUAUUUCUCUUUUAAUAUAAUAUAAUAAUCCCGGCAUGGGUUCGACCCCUCUUAAGAUCAAACUCGGCGACUCACAUUUCUCUUUUAAUACAAUAUAAUGCCGCGGGGCUCCUCCCCCAUUGGUCUAAUUUUUAGAACUACAGUAAGUUAGUGUUUUUUCUUUUGAGUGGUAAAGAGAGCUUUAAUAUGUCAACUUAUGUCAGGAUCACAAUCAUUCCCAAUUACAUGAAACUAGACCUCAUUUAGUUCAGAAGAAAUGAAUUUUAUGUCAAUAAAAAAAUCAUAGAAAGUGAAAUGGCAUGCACCUCAAAAAUCCUAUAUGGAAAGAGAUGUUAUUUGAUUUCUAGGAUAGGAUUUUUUUUUUUGAUUGGGUCUCGGCUAUUUUCUUCUUCUUUGAAAUACAAAGGAUUGGUUCAUAUCCUGUACAGAAAUAUGAUUUUAUUUCUACAAACUAAAAACCUCAAAGGAAAUUUCCUUUAAAAUUUUCUAUCCUUGAGAAUUCCACUAAAAUUCCUGUAACCAAAGAAGGUCUUAGUGUAUUUUUUUUAUUUUUCACAUACAUUAAGUUCCUGCAAGUAUGAAACACAAACAUUAGUAUUGUCGGUGCUAUCAAUAAGGUGGGUAAACUACUUGAUGUACGUCUCUCUAUCGUUGGUACUUUUGUUAAUUGGGUGUCUGUCUAAUUUGUGUAGAAGGGAAUAAAGAGGGAGAUUGGUGGAAUUGUUGUUGUAUUGUUUGAGCCUCGUGGGCACAUAUAUAGAACUACAUGACCAUUUUAAAGUACAAGACAAGCUAGAACAAAUCCUAGCCUAUCCUAUCUUUCCUAAAUAAUCAUGAUAUUCAACAUUUUGUAUACCUUAUAUCACAUGAUUUUGUAAUUUGUCAUAUGUCUACAUCCAUCGUGUAGAGAGAGAGCGAAUGUACCACCAAUAUAUUUCUUUAUGUAGAAAAUAAUCAACAAGGCGAGCCAACAAUUUAACACCAAGAACAGCCUUUUGGUGCGGUGGUGGAGUUGUGGUGGCAUGACUCCACCCACAGGGUUUCAAUAUACAGUAUGAGUCUUCUAUACAGUCUUUCUGUAUUAAAAAAAUCUUUAACACUAGUGUUCUUAACCUAAACCUCAACAGUCUGGCUGAUGCGUUGUUGUGUGCAGGUCUUGACCAUUAGCUGCGCGUACCUGCAUCAGCACGCGCAACAUCAAUUGGGUGUAGAGCAAGAGGAGAGGGACCGAGAGAGAUGGGUGGUGGUGCGGCAAUGAACAUGAGAUCGACGCAGGAGGUGGAGGUGGUGGCGGCAACCGAGGCGUCCCUUGGUUUCUCAAUAUGAAGUACUCCCUCCGUUUGGAAAUACUUGUUAUUAAAAUGAAUAGAAGGAAAUGUAUCUAGAUGUAUAUUAGUUAUAGAUACAUUUAUUUUGAUGACAAGUAUUUUCAGACGGAGGAGUACAUCGCUGCUCGUCCAGUAGAUUCAGGUGCUACUGAUCAGCUUCGACUUCCUAUGUUUCUCAGUGGGCUUUGCUGCGUGGCGGCGAGGCCCAAUUAACCAGAAAGCUUCAAAAUUUCCAUGAGAAUAGCUGCCCUCUAGGAUAGCUGGUCCACUUAGCGAGAAACCACGAGAUAAAACAACUAUCCAACGGCUAAAAAUAAUCAGGCUGUGAGAUCAGGCGGCCAAAAAUGCCCAAGUCGUGAGAAGGCUGAGAUUAGGUGUGGUUUUGUUGUCCUAAAUUACCAUCGGCAUUCAUUAACAUUAUCAUCAACAUUGAUUUGCAGUAAAUGUCGGAUAAGGCACCACCUAUUUGCACAUAAAAACCAAAAUAAUUGCAACAAUGAAUCGAGAAGUAUAAAAUUUUGGGAAAAGUAACUACUGCUGGUAGCAAAAGCAAACGGAUCCUGCUUCAUGCACCUCUGCUUAUAUAUCAACAUGAAAAAGAACAAUCUAUGCUCAGGUGGAUGUCCACCUAAUGUUGACAAUACAUGUAUUUUUUUAUAACAUAGAUGAGUUCAAUCUAUUGAUUAACAAGAAAAGAAUUGUCCGGUUAUUUAGCUGAAAAUUAGUAUCGUGACAAUAAAUGAUUCUCACUCUAAAAGGUUAUCAUCAUCAAAACUAUAGUUAUUUAUUGAUAUAUCAUGAAAUGUAUUCCUGCAAAAAAUUCAUACAAAAAUAUGUUAACACGUAUUUUCAAGGGAAAAAUGUUAGCACGUGUUUGCACAAUAAAAACAUAACCGUUAGGCUGAAUGACGAUGAGGCUUUUACAGUAGCAUGUACUGUGCUGGUGCAUACAGUCAUGCAGUUUUCUCCCAGCAUGGAUGGAAGGCACUAUAAUCUCCAGACUGACCCUCCAACGUCCUAGGUAAAUAUAUUGUUUGUGUUUGGGUGUGUCUAUGAUGUGUUAGAUGUGUGCAUAUUUGUUAUGCAGAGGUUAGGUUUUCUCUCGACGCGGUUAUAUCGGCUUGAUAUGAUGACUGAAUAAAAUCUCUUUGUUAGAAAAAUAUCUUUUGGCCAACAAGAAAUACGUACAUACACAACCAAGAUAGUCAGAAUCAUGAUUCUAAAUCGGAUCAGACCCAGAUGGUAGGAUCACAAAUAGUAGAAUUUUCACUAAUAGAAUCUUAAAAACAUACUCUGUCCGUUCUUUUAUGUAAGGUGUAUUAUUUUCGGCACGGUGACCAAGGCACAUAAUUAUAGUCAUGUUAGGACAAAAUUACCUUUGGAAAAUUUGUUGGUUAGUGGCAAUUAAAUUAGUUAGUCCAGGAAAAAAAGAGAUAUAUGCAAUCGAUAGAGAGAUAAUUUCCUUCUUUUGCUACAAGGAGAGAUACAGACAAUCAGAAGAGAGAUACUUUUCUUUUUUCUGCAGGGCUAACAAGGGAAUUAUGAGAAAUUAGAAGAAAUGCACCUUACAUUCAGGAAUUUUAUCAAAAAACAAACACACCUUAUAUAAAGGAACGGAGGGAGUAGAAUUUAUUAAUCAAAAUCAUAGAGCCGUAUGAAUAAGUUUGGAUAGUAGUCAUAGAAUUGUACAACAAAAUCGCGAUUCAGACUACCCAUUGACUAUCGUGUUGGAUGGACGUGCACAUCUAUUCAGGCGCAUGGGCCGCUCGACCGGCAUUGUUGAGUGCAUCGUGUUAGGGUUUGCACAUCGUUGAGUACAAGAAGGGUUGGCCGCACUUUCCUACGCCAUUAGUGUUGUUGGGUUUCUUUAAAAAAUCACUUUGUUUCAAAAUAUAAGGUGUAUUACUUUUUUAAAAGUCAAACAUUUUAGUUUAUCAAAUUUAUAGAGAAAUAUAUCAAAAUCCAUAAUAUCAUAUCGAUAUGGUUAGAUUCAUCGUGAAAUGAAUUUCCAUACUUUUUUGGUUUAACAUUGUGGAUACCGAUAUUUUUGCUAUGAACUUGGUCAAAGUGAAAGAAAUUCGACUUCUCAAAAAACUAAUACCCUUUUAGUUUGGAACUGAUGGAAUAUUUUGUUUGUUGGACGGGGGAGAUGAUGGAGUGUGUUUAAUUUCUAUUUAUAAUGCGAUGAUUUGGUGGCCUUUCGUGAUUGAUUCUAUGUUAUCCACUAAUCAAUCUGUAUUUAUGUGGGGAAAUUUCUGCUUCAUUGGCCGCAUGUACUAUAUUGGUGCUACAGUACCACAUUAUUUUUUCCAGAUGGUGGGAGGGUGUGCGGGAUUGAUAUAUUUUUAUAGGCCAGUUGCUGCUAAUUGAUUUGAAACAAUGUAACACCCCAAUUUUUGGCCAUUUUUUUCUUUUUGAUUUAUUUGGUUUUUGAUCUGAUUUUUCUUUUGGAGCAGUUCUAUGGACUUGAAACUUCGGAGAUCAUCAUUCUUUCUCCUCCCAAGUGGUUCAUCAUUCUUAAAUAUAUCCCAAGAUCAUGACAUUUCUAUUCUAGCCCCAACCCCAAAUUCUUUUUCUUGGGAAUAUUCCUUUUACUAUUAAAGGAAUAACCAUGUCUCAUCUAGAUUGUGAAGCAACCUAUAUUUCUGUCAUUCACAAAAUUCCCAAAUAAUUCAUAAAUUGUUUGGAUCAUAUAUUCCCCAAAUAUGUUCAAAUCCGUUCUCAUCCAGUUCAAAAAUAAUCCAGCAAAUCUUCAUUUUUCAUAAUGGCACUUUUGUGAAGGAAGUGCUAUUUAUCUUUUCUUGAUUGCUUCCAAACCUUUUGAGCACUCUUUCUUAUCCAAAUCAUUGUCACAUGACAAAAUUAAGCUCCAUUUGCCUAGUGAAUCUUCCUCAGCAAAUUUCCAAAGUUUCUGUUCAGAUAGAAGCUUUGUGAAGGAAGUACUAGUUAGAAUUAUCCAAAUGAGUUGAAAUUUUGCAAGCUCCUUCAUGUGCUCAAAUCAUCGGACUCCACCAAAUUUCAGCUCCAUCCAACUAUCCCUAUGAUCACACCUUCAAAUCUUUUUCUAGCGAUAUUUUCAAAUUAUGAAACAACUAUAUUUUAUGUUGCUUCAUUAUUGCUAAAAUUUUACCAGAGCAUGCUCCUACCUAUAUGACCUCUCUCCAUCAAAUUUGGACUCAUUUCACCAAGCUAAUCUCCCUCCAUAAUUUUCUCAUGUUUCUGGGCAGGGAAGAUCUUUGUGAAGGAAGUACUAUUUUGGCAUGUCCAAAUGGUAUGAAAUUUUUACAGUACCUUAUUAUGUUCAUAUCAUCUUGAUCUACCAAAUUUCAGCCCAAUUAAACACUCCAUGUGAGUGCCUCAUCUAAAUCAAGUUUCUGGACCAUAUUGGCAGUUGCAAAGCGGCUAGGUUAAUUUUUGAUCCAAAUCCUCUCAAACUUCACAGGGUUGUAGUCCUUCCUUCCCUAAACCUCAUUGACAUCAAGUUUACCUUGUGACCCCCCUCAUUUUACCACAACAUCAUGUCCAAGUUUGCUACAGCAAACUUUCACUUGAUGCAUCCCAUCCAUCCAGAGCUCCUUUAGUCGAGCUAUCACCACAUGAGGGCCCCAGGAAGCAAGGACAGCGUGCUAGAGAUCUUUUGCCAGGCCUUUGUGCCCUCUCCUCUCCAUGCCAUGCGGUGACCGCAUUGUUGGCAUGCCUGUGCACGCGCUCUGGCCGCUGUGACCGCACUCUGCACGUCGGGACGCGUCUUCUCGGCGGCGUUCGCAUGUCCCCUGGUGUCGUCCACCCUCCUCCUUCCACCUCGCCCCCCGGACCCCUCCCACCUCCUGUAGCUCCCUCGUGGUGCUAGGCCGCCGCGUGCACGCGGGUGCACAGUGUGCUAACAGCUUCUGUGCUCACUUGUCUUCUUCCUCCGAGCCCCUUGGCUCCAUCUUCUUAUCCGAUGUACCUCCCCCACCCCUCACCCGUGGCCUCAACCUCCCACGCGUUCGCCGCUCACCCGAAGCUCCGGACACACGUCCAUGGCGGCCUACGAAUGGCGACGGGCGGCCUUGGCUAUUUAAGCCCUCCCCUGCCUCGCCCAACCUUACUACUCGACUCAUCCCUCACUCAAUUGAUCCCAGAUGCCAAGAACUAGAGCCGGGGAGGCCAUGUUCCCCAACUCCAGCAAGGAGCCCCAUCGCUCGGCCCUAUCCACCUCCAGCUCCCUUUGGUGCGGCUACGACCAAGCUUAGCCCACCAUUGCACUCCCCGGGGUCCACUAACCCUCCCCAACCUCUCUGUUGCACGUGUAUUUGCCGGAGUCCUUGAAUCCCUCAACAGCCAAAGCCCGCGGCCGCCGGAGGCCAAGGGGGUGACGCCAUCCAGCCACCAUUCAGUGAGCCACGGGUACGGGCAUGCUCGUUGGCGUCCGCCUGAUCCAUCCCUGACGUCGCCCAGCUCCGCCAUGGCCUCCUUGCCGUCGUUCCAUCGCUGGUGAGCCCGUCGUGCUUUGUCUCUCCCUUUCUCUCUUUAAACCCUGCACGCCGGCCCCACCAGUCAGCCUCUCACCUCCCUCGCCUAAACCUUUUCAAGUGAGGGCGUAUUCCCAGAAUACGCUUUCGACGUCAGCCCUUGGCGAUUUUCCAUAAAUCAUUUUAAUCCAAUUUUAAUCUAGAUUUUGACCAUGAAUAUCUCCUAAACUACAUGUCCAAAUGAACCGAUCCUUUUUGCAUUAUUUUUCUUUUGAGCUCCUUUAUUUUCUGGUAGAGUUUGGUAUUUUCUCUGCUGUCUAGAUAUUCUGGACAGAGAAAAAUGCAUUAUGUUAUAUUUACAAUGCUUUCAAAAAUAUUUUUUCAGAGCGUUUUUAGUUGUUUGAUGAAGAACAGGAGCAUUCCAACACUCCCUUGGAGCAAGGCAAGCCCCACCCUCCAUUUGCAUUGCAAUGCAAUGUCAUGGUUUAUUUAUUUAAUUUGCUUAAAAUAUUGCAUUAUUUAGAAAUGAUCAUUCAUGGCAUUAUUUUGGGGAUAAUUUGUGAUCUUGCUACUGCCAUGAUGAUGCUUGGAUUCUUUAGGUCUAAUGCUUUGCAGUCUGAGGAUGGCAUGUUGCCAUUGGAUUACUAGUGAUAUUUAUUUACUUUUUUCAUGAUAAUAUUGGAUAUUAUGCAUUUGAGUAUUAUUUGGAUUUGAUGCUAUCAUAUAGAUCUAUGGUUGACAAUCUUGCUAGUGCUAAUGGAUCAGUAGGAUUAGUUGCUUUGGAUUCAGCUUGAUCAUAUUUAAUCUUGUGCCUAUGGUAUUAUGAUAAUCUUAUGGCUAUAUUAUUCUUCGGAUUAUUAGAUCGAUAUUGCUAUAACUUGGAUUAUAGGUUGAUAUAUGAUAUUGGAGUAACAGUUUUAUCAUAGAUAUAUCUUGGGGACAAAUUCCGUCAUUUCGUUGGUCAGGUGCCACCGAACCGAGCUCAACAGUGCAACCACACUUGCCUGGAUGGGGAGGCCCUAAUCCUGUCUAUUGUCAUGCCUCUCGCUGGAGCCUCCAACUAGGGAAGGUUAUGUGCGCGCGCCAUCCCUGGCCCGGUAGGCGGCGAUAACCUUGUGUGCCCGAGUUGUAUGCGCGCUUUUGUCCUCGUUUGGGACCGUUUAUUUUUGUUUUGCCACGACGGUGGCUAGCCACAAAGAUGGCGGAUGUCACGAGGUGACAUCAGGGCCACCCAUGACUUAGCCCAAAGGGGAGUUUGUCGGAGUGGCCGGGAGAGUGUCAUGCAAUAGAUUGGUUUUAUCAGAAUGUCAUUGGUCCACCCGAAUGGGAGCACGGGGCCAUGAGUUCCAUAGUGUGGGUACAAUGUACUAACCUCUGCAGAGUGUAUAAUCUAUUGAUAGCCGCGUCCUCGGUCAUAAACAUAAUUCGUACUAGGUCACACCAUUCGAUCAACACACACGAUGACAGAAUGACAUAUAUAUAUAUAUAUAUAUAUAUAUAUAUAUAUAUAUAUAUAUAUAUAUAUAUAUAUAUAUAUAUAUAUAUAUAUAUAUAUAUAUAUAUGACUUCUAUUUAUAUGUGAGCAAGUAACAGUUUGGCAGGAUGCCAAUGAUGAUGUUGGGAUGAUCUUGAGGAUGAUCAUUCAGUUUGUGAUGUGAUUACGAGGUGAUCACAUGGAGGUAUUGAUCUCGAGGUGAUCGAGAUGAUAUGCUGCUCGGCGGAUAGCCAAGAGUGAGAUAGUUCCAUGUGAUCCCAGAUGUUGGUUCAACAUUAAUUCUUAGCAUUACCAUAUCAUAAUUAAUAUUUACUUCCGCCUCAUAGUAGUUGUUCAUAACUUAACCUGUUCAUGCUAUGUUGUUGUCUUGCCUUGAUGCUUUUAGUUGUUGUAAACUUGCGAGUAUAUUCAAAGUACUCACCCGGCAUGUCAUGCCGGUUUGCAGGUAAUGUCGUGAUUGAUUGCUUGUCGAGGUUUCCGAUCGUGCGAGCUAGACCGUGUCCCAGCCAGAGUUCCUAUGGAGUGGAGUUCAUCGUUGUCGUCGUUGUUCCGCUGCCAGAUGUUAUUCCGCUGCUAUGAGUUGUUCCGCUACUAGCAUAGAGCUACCUUAGCAGGCGUAGUGUCGCCGUGCCAGCGUAAUUUUUGUAACCUUAGGACCCUUGUACCCUUAUCAUUUUGUAAUAAUAGCUAAUUUGUUCUAUGCCAACCAGUGUCGUAUUCCAGAAGACUUGAUCUCUGGGCUGGAAUACGGGGCGUUCUGGUUCCUCUGAGCCGGGUGCCACCAAAAUUGUUGGCCCAGUCAAAAUUGUAAACCAAAUACAAAAUCAAAUAUCUCAAUUGAAUGAAAGAGCUUCAAAAUUAGGGAACAUAGUGAAUUAAAAAAAAUGAAUGGGGGAGUCUGAGAAAUUGUUGACCUGGUCAAAAUCGGGUGACCCAAUUCUAAAUCGGAAAACUCAAUUAAUUGUGAGGUAUUAAGAAUUAGAAAGCAUAGUGUAUAGUAUAAAAGAAUUGAAUGGGAAAGCUUUGAGAAAUUGCUGACCUAUAGAAAUCGGAUGACACAAUUCUAUUAGAAGAUCUCAAUUGAAUGUGGGCUUUUUAAAACUAGAAAGCAUAGUGUUAUAGAGGAUGUCAGGCAAGUGUUCAUGACCUAUGUCUUUCUUUCAAAAAAAAUUGAAAAUAUGCUUUUGAAUUAAUGCAAUGUGGUGUGUGCAUGUAUAUACGUGCGCGCGCGCGCGUGUGUGUGUGUGUGUUAUAUUGAUAUUUGCUAUAUAUGUUAUAUAGAUGAGUGAGCGAGAUUUGUUGAUCUCUUCCGUGAAAAAAGAACGGGUCUGCGAGCGGGUGAAGGCCAAAGAGCGGCGGAGCGGCUGAAGAAGGAGAUGUCCUCUUAUUUUUCAGUCAACCGCACAUCCUAGUCUCCUAUGUAGCACCUGAGCGAUAUCUCUUCUUUGUUAUCAAACUGUACGAAUCAAUCCAUCAACAUGGGAAAAAUUCCUAAGAACAUUCACAACCGGAGCCCUCAAAUCCACCUCAAAUGCCCGGGCGAGCUAUGCAGUCACUAUCCAGACGCAAAAUUGCCACCCAAGCGGCCCUCACAAAUCCGACCAAACGUCUGGACUAACCGGCACUCUUCAUACCUAAGUCAUAUAUAGGGCAGAUACGGGGAUGCCCGGACGCGCCCGCCAUGUCGUCUCCGACAAGUCGGACCUAUCCCAAAUCCUCUCAAAAAUGACUAGCACUCCACUUCGACCCGACUCCCCCCGCCUUUGUCCUCCAUUUCUCGCCUCCAUGCAGCCACCCAACUCCUCCCUUGCUCCCCGUCCCCCUCCGUCAUCGCUGAUCUCAUCGCCGACAACCCUGUCUCUGGGGAAUUGGUCGGGCUCCUCUGCCUGCAACGGAUUCUUGCAAGGCGGAGAACCUUGCCCGGAAGGAUCGCCGCCAGAUGCAGCGCGAAUAGGAGGCAGCGGCAAAGGCACCUAUGGAGGUGGCCGGUGUUGAGAUAGCGUUCGUGCCUGGUGGUGAGGACAUGGACUUUGGCAUGACACAGACCAAUCCGGAGGUCGUGGCCGCGGGGACAAACAACUUGUCAACGGAGUCCGACUCCGUCCCGCCCUCCUAGUGGAUGAGCAUCCCAAUUUUGAGCUUUUUGCAAGCCGUUCCCGACACGUCGAUGAUGGCAAACUUGCCGCAGCUCGAAAGGCAUCGGGCGAUGUCGGGCAAUGUCGGCCCCGGGCAUGCCCACAUGUUGUUCGACCAAACGCCUGACCAAGACCCGGUACACUCUUUUCCCCCGUUCACACUUGCAUUCGUAGAUUCUUUUGUUGCACAUACCAUAUGAUCAAACUUGUAGGAUGAUAGUUAAAUUGCAAUGCAUAUUAUAGGAACAAAUAUUGCAAGACAUGAUAAAUGAUGGCCAAGAAUCUUUGCAAUUUACCAUGGGGGAUACCAACUCCCCGGUGUUCGAAGUUGGGCAAACAUGACACACUAAAAAUAAGAAAGUUGGUGUGAAAUUAGUGAAGCCAAGAGGUCCAGCAUUCACACAAUUUGAAAAUGUUUUGUUGUUAGAAAGUUGGUGUAACACUAGCAUGGAUCCGAUUUGUGGAACCGAGCAAAAAGGCGAGAAAUAUUGGGGAAAAGAUUCAUAAACUUUAUCAUGAGAAAAAAAUACUAUUUUACCCACACUCAAUCUCUACCAACUGUGUCUUGUGCUCCCUCCAACAUAGAUGGUCACUCAUCCAAGAGGUCGUGAGCAAAUUUGUUAGUUAUCUCAAACAAGUUGUUGGCCGGAACCAUAGCGGCAUCGGAGUUCAACCAAUGCAACUUUGGCGACGGCUUUGUGCCAUCAAGUGGAGAAGAAAGCAUUCACUUUUUCCCAUUUUUGGAUGAAAUUCAAUGGGAAACCCAAGUGGGAAACCUUCAUCGAGGUGAUUGAAAACAGCACGGAGAAGAUGAAGAAAAACGAUGGGUCUAGCUCCGCUCAAUCAAUUGGAUUGGAUGAGGAAGAAGAGGGAAAUGGUGGGGCGAACAUGCAAUCAACCGUGCCGAAGAGAAACUGGCAGGUGAUAGGGAACAAGUGGGAGAAAGAGAGGGUGGCAUGUGAAGGCGCGGCAAACAAAACGCUCGCCAUUUCGACGGGCAUUUUUCCGCCAAGGAGGUGAAGAAGGAGUAAAGGUACAAGAUAUUCAUCGAUGCGCAAAGGUAGAAAAUGGAGUUCGACUGGGAGAGGUUGACCUUGGAGAAGGGGGGGAUAUAAUUGAAGAGGCAAGAGAAGGUUGCAAAAUGGGAGUUUGAACAAACAGUGACAAUGCAAGGACUUGAGUUCAAGAGAGAGAAGUUGAGGCUUGCGAGAGAGGCGGAGGAGUCGAGGAUCAUGUUACAGGACAUCAACCUCUUGGAUGAUGAAAGGAAGAAACGGUUGGUCUGCAUGAAGAAGAGGAUCAAUGUCGCGACAAUUGAAGUCAUUGAUUCAUUCGUGUAUUGCCUAUCUAUGUAUGUACUGUUGAGCUUUAUUUUGGCAUGUAAUGAAUUAUUGAUUACUUCAUAUUGUUGAAUUUGUGACGAAUUUGUGUUAUAUGAUGAACAUGCAUGGAUUUGGGUAUUUGGGAUAGGAGGAGUCUGGUACUGUAGUUGUGAAGGAGGACAAAUGAAGACCCGCCCAGCGCUGCCCGCGGGUGCGUCUGCGGGGACGUAUACGGGGCUCGGAUAGGCCAACUCCAGUUGUAGAUGCUCUAAGAAUUCUAAUCCCUUAAAAAUCAUAUGAAAAUCAUUUGAAUCCAAGAAACCCUCAAAGAUAAAUCAGGGGUUUAUGUUUGCCAGAAAUAAAAGAGAAAAAGCAUCACAAGGCUACGGUGGAUGCCGGAUGUACCUAAGAAAAGACCGAGGAAAUAGUGCAAGGUAGUAUUUACUAGAUCGGCAGCGCGCCUUGGCGCGAGGAUGCCGGUCCCAACGAUCUAGCCAAGCAAGUAAUGCUCAAGUUAGUAGGAAGUCAGGCUUAGCGUACGUAUUCAAAUAGGAUAACAAACAAACAUUCACAUGUAUUCCCUCCAUUCCAAAAUAGAUGACCCAAUUUUAUACUAAAGUUAGUAUAAAGUUGGGUCAUCUAUUUUGGAACGAAGGGAGGGCAAGACAUCAUCGAAGGACACCAGAUGAUAUAUAGUACAACACAUCUCCAUAGCGACCAGAAAGAUAGUAAACACAUUAUAAAGGAUGCAAAUGUUCAUACAUGAUAAAUUGAAGGAUGCAAUGUCCAUCCAUGCAAUGUUCAUACAAGGUAGAUAUUGAGUACAAAAGGAUGGAUAGACGCGCCAGGCCGUGUUCACAAAAGAAGAGGGAGAUCACACGGUUGUUUACAUGGUACAUCACAAGAGCCGGUGGCAUCAUAUAUCAUCGGGUACUUGCCAGAGUUAGAAUAGGUGAUUGGUGACGUCCAUCGACGAUCAAAGCCAUGGCCGUGGUGCGAAGAAAGCAAUUGGUGCAAACACCUCAUGCUCUGUGCCUGAGACGACAAACGAUUAGAUAUGUAUAAUAAUAUAUUUGGUAAUAGAAUGUGCCAGGCCUGCAAGCUCAAAAAUAAGAAUAACACGAUAAGUAAAGAAUCAACGGUGGCACAAGCUAAUAUGUGAAUUGGUGGUAUUUAGAUCGUUUAAUAGAUUCAUUAGGUGAGUAUUCGACCAAAUAAAAAUCAAUGCCACAACUAAAUCACAGUCAAUAGAUCUGGAGUAUUCUAUCUAAAAUAGGUGUUCUAAUGGACCAUGAGGCUUUCACAACCAUAGAACUGCAGCUACUGAAAACCGAACAAUAUUUUUGUACACGGCCCAAAGAACAGAAAGAUUUACUCACAUGAAUCCUAGAUCGACAUUACAAAAGUACGGAAUUUAUAAGUGACCGACAACUCAUGUUUACCUUGUUCAUUGGUGGCACCAUCGACUGGAUUUUCCUUGUUCCUGUCGCCGGGGUGGCGUAGAAGAGCUCCCUCCGUGCGCUCUUGUUCGAGUACAACUGAGACAUCAAAUUCAGAAAGGCAGUUCUAUAGACCAAGAUUAGGAAUACAUUCCACAGGUUGAAAUACCAUUCAUAAUACACAUUAGGCAAGAAGGACCAUACAUAAUGAUAGCAAGGCCUGUAUACGAAAGACCAACAUAACCAGGUAGCAAUAUACACCCUCUGUAAAGAAAUAUAAGAGCAUUUAGAUCACUACUUUAGUGAUCUACAUGCUCUUAUAUUUCUUUACGGAGGGAGUACAUAGGUAAGUGUGCAAUGCCCCAUUGCUCCCCACGGCGAACAAAUACAUAAAGCUUACUGGCAUGACUCGUUAACAAUAAAAUAAUAUCAAAAAUCCUCAAACUUUUCAUGAACUAAUAGCAUCGCCAAACCAUUGUUUAUCCCAGAAUAUAUACUGGACGAAUCCUACACACAAGUCAAUUGUUAUAACCAAUGAAUAGGAAAUACUGGAUACAACUGAGCUGUUAUUGUUGAUUAAUAUGAGCAGGUUGGGCAUAGCCAUCAUUGUUAAGAAGCAUGGAGAAUUAGACAUCACCAGUAACCAAAACCAAAUAGAAUAUGACACUUUAUACAGAGUAACUGAAAGAUAAAUGAGCAUCUCCAAACGCAUUUUGCUACACAAGCAUCUUAAAAGUUUUGGUUUAGCUUCUGACAUGGCACCGGGCUAGCUAUGCAGGAGAGAUAGACGAUGGCCAACAGAGAAUUUAGAGAAGCACAUAAGAAAAACUGCAACACAAGUUCUAUCUAAUGAGUACUGACAGAUGUGAGCCUCUGAAACAUUGUGGUGGCAUCUCACCUUUAUAACAACACUAUCAUCAUAUAGUCAUCAUCAUAUUGUAAAUAUAAGGGAAGGGAAAGGAGUUUGCAACCUAGUACUCCCAUUGUCAGGGAGCAAGAAUGUGUGGAGGCAUUGGGGCUUCAGUUAUUCCUCUUUCAUCUGCUCAUGUGCCACAUCCGCCGCAUCCGCGAGACGCAAUACAGCUAGGCAGGCGCACAUGGUUCGCACACCGUCGCCUUGCCGAGAAACCUAGAGGCGGACUGGAGAGCAAAAUUAGGAAAUGGUGGAACUUAAGAUCCACAUGGUAACAACAAUCUAUCAUCACUUGCAUAUUUAUCUUUUUUAGUGAUUGUUUCAGAAACCUACAUCCACAAUUGUAUCAUUUUUAGUGAUUGUUAACAUGAACACUAAAAUUUCAAACAAACCAAGCUACAACACUACAUAAAGGUAUACAAACUGAAAAUAAUAUUGUACCCUUUUGAAAUUAAGGCAGUAGUCCAGAUUAUGAUGGCGACAUCUAUAUAGCUACGAUGGAUAUUAUAUGCGGUAGCGUGAAUAGCUGGAGCUCAGGGAAAGGCAAGCAUGAUCAACUCCCUCAGAAAAAAUGCCAUUGUGUUUGUGUCAUAUGAGCAAAAUUAAUCUAGUUUUCAGAGUUUACAGCAUCUGCUUCCGCUGCAAAUUAAGUCCCCAACGAGUAACGCAUCACUCUGACGAAUCAUCAAGCACUGAUGCCUUGCAUAGCCAUGAACUGGCAUCGAUGCCAUCCUCGUCAAAAUAGCAUGAAUAAAUCAACAUAGUGAUAUGGAAGUAUAUUAAAUUAAGAAAAUGUGUCACCAUUAUAAAAAAUAUCCAACUGCCUUGUUGUAAUUGAUCCUAGAUAACCGAGACUACAUGGAUAAUAUACAUGUGUAAGCGACCGCGGAGCUUUGACAGCCAAUAAUAUUUUAGUGUCCUGCAAUCAGGUCCUUUCUCCUCUACAGACACAGUACGUGAGAAAUUUUGGAAUAUAUAUUCACUAAACAAAAUACUUUAUAAAAUAAGACAAUCUACAGUAAUAAUUCGAGACUAUAAGCCUUGCUAUACAACCCUACAAUUUAGUGAGUAUUGCAUACAUGUCAUUCUUUCUUGGAUCAAUCUCAUAAAAAAAUACAAAUACAAAGUAGAGAAUGACCAUCAAUUUAUUACUCUAAUCUGUUGAGACAAAUAAAAAGUGAGGCAUAAAUCAGUAGAAAACUGAUGUGUUAUUUCGUAUAGACCACCAGUUUAUUUUUUAGGUUGAAGUUUUCCAACUAAAGAAAGUAGAAAAUGAAAUUGAUGAGCGAUUAAAUAGUACAAUCAAACCUUCUCUUUGACACUACUCUGUUUCAAGUCGAUAGUGUUUGACAUGGAUGAACUUGAUUGGACAAUGGUAAGAGUUGUAGCAGGAAGCUAUAAACCAUACCAAGAUUAAUUAUGCUGUCCAAAAAUGUGAUCAUCAGUGUGCAAAAAAUAGGGAAUCAAUUAUACAGUUCAAAAAUGUGAUCAUCAGUGUGCAAAAAAUAGGGAAUCGUAAAAAAAUGGAGUUCAAAUUUGAGAAGGAUCUUCAGCUGUCGCCCAAUCGCUACCGCCGGAAGAGGUGCAGGACCAGCCAACCCCACAUAUGGACGCAAUGGUCAACGGCCAGACCGCCCAAACGCACCGUUACUUCAACAGAACCAUCUCACUUCUCAAGCUCAUCGUCUCCUACUGUCGAAUGCCAAGAUGUCUGUCUGCCUAUUUGGUAUUGGAGUUGCAGGGAGUGCCUAAUUUUUAUGUAUCUAGCUUGCUUCACUUUUCUUCAGGUUCUAGCUCACAACUAAGUAAUCUAAUGCAGAAAGUUGAUUAGUGUGGUAUCUCUGCUCAUAUGAUUUUCAUAACCAGACUUUUACAUAAUGCUACAUUUCUGGAAUACUGCAUGAGAUGAUUCUUUUGAAGAUGCCGGGCACACGGAGCACCUCUGCCUUGCCAUGGUGCUAAAAAACUGCCGAUGGUGCUCUAAUCUGCAACACCUCACUACUAACCUUGGAAACAAUGGCUCUACUCCUCUACCUAGAAAAAAUCUUCCUAAUUAAAAUCCCAAACCAGAUAAAAAAGGAAUAUCGUUCUGGAUUUGGGACGAAGGAAUGGUUCUUGGAUCCAAGAGAACAAAAGGCGGACGAAACACAUGUGUUCAUUUAGCUGAUGAGAAGAUGAGAUAAAGGGAGUAGUACCUGCUGAGCGGAAGCGCGGCAGCCAUCUGGACGAUGGCUCGCUUAUGGACGCCGGUUCCACCAGCUAUGCCGCCAAGUCAUGGUGGUAUUGGCCGCUCAAGUUCAAGGUCGGGGUAGGGGGGCAAGCUUGUUGCCAUGGCGCUGGUCUGGGUCGCUAGGAAGUGUAAAGGAAAAGGUUAAAACCCUUGAAAUUUAUCCACUGAAAAUUAAUAUACAUACAUACAACAGGGAGUUAAAGUCCAAAAAAGUGAUCAAAAAAGAUGUCAUCAAAAAAUGCAUAGUUGAACAGUUUUUGAAAUCUCUAGCAGUUGAUUUGUUCGGCCAUAUGAAAAUACAUGUUAGUACGAAAGCAGUGUUAGACGAUAUCCGCUAUAGACUAAAAAGGAGACGUUCUUAGUUGAAGCAUCAGCCUAAUAUUUAAAGACCCUUUUCAUCUAGAUAAACCUGCAAGUAUACAUCAGACCAAAGAUUCUCAAAAAAGUAAGAUCUACUAAGCAACUUUGUGGAGAUGAGAUUAAACAUUCAUUAGCAGUAGUAUUCCAAGAUCUGUUGUGCCUGCAAGUAUAUAUUCGCCUAUUAAUCCAUCUCUUGUGAAUAAAUGGUAUUUUACGCUUAACACUGUCACAACACGCACAAAGUAGAGAUGUAUUCCGGCAAACGCAUACAGUCAGCAGGAAAAAAUUAUUCCAACUGAAACUCACAUCGGGAGGAGGUGUGCCGAUCUUAGGCACCCGGCGCUGGAGCCUGCUCCUCCUUCCUUCCUUGCUUUGGUGAGGUCGUGGACGCCAGCGCCAGCCGCCGCCUCUAGAGAAUGGGCGACAGGGACAGAGGCGGCAGCGUGAGGACGGGGAUAAGAUGCGCAAGCAGAAGAACGGGUGAGAGCGAGAGACACCUCGCCGUCGCCGCUCCCGUCCCGGCCCUCCCCGUGUUGGGCUGGACGAGGCGGAUCCCCACCUGUUGCCGACGAGCAGGGAUGGAUGCGGUGGAUCUGGCCGGCUCGUCUCGCACGGGACGCUUGGAGGAGAACGACGACGAGGUAAACUCGUGCUGGAUGAUGCCGGCGUGGGAGGCGGACGGAUUUGACUGGAGGGAGCCUCUGGGUGCCUCGCACGUCGGAUUGGAGGCGGGUGACCUCGGGUCAACUUCUUGCCCUCCCGCGUGGUGCAGCUAGGGAGGAAGAGGAGCGCAGCGGCUUCCGCGACUGGCGAUGGAGAGAAGAGACGCGACGGGGAGGGCGGGCCACGGGAGGUGAGGAGGCAGGGGCGGCGGCGCCAUGGGGGCGACAGGAGGAAGAGAGGGGAUUGGCGGAGUGAGGAUCGGGAGGAAGGGAGACAGGCACCCUCACCCCCAUCCACUCUCCAGCCAACCGGGGCCGGACACGUGAAAUGACAAAAUUGCCCUCGGCGGGGCUCGGUAUUAUCGGCGGUGGCACGGGAUAUUUGCCCGCUCACGGAGGCCACGCGCUGCACAGUCCACACUCCUAGCCAAAGUCGAUGACAGGCGCGGCCCACCAGCGAGUGACCCCACACGUCAGUGAGGGAGCAAAGUAAUUGUGGAGUAAGAAAAGUCAGUAAGAAAAUCCGAAUGGAGACUACUAUUCAUCACUAUUCAUUGUAGCAGUGAUCCGGGCUUGAUCCGAUGGCCGAUAUCAUCUGAGGGCGUGAUCGGACGGCCCAGAACGCAUCAAAAACUGAUCCGACGGCCAGAAAUCCCGAGCGGGGAGGAGGCUGGGUGGGCACUGCUAUGCUUGUUUCUGGAUGACCAAGGCACGGCCGGCCGGGAAACCUUGGCGCUGGCCGGUGGCCAGUGUUUGCUGUGCUGGGGUCAAGAACAGGCUAUCACUCGGUGUACUUCAUAGAAGAAGCUCACCAAACAUGUCCACUGGUGCACCAAAUUUCGACAGCGUGAAGAUUUACAGAAAUGCAAGGUAGAGAAUAAAAAUAUGUGAGUUAAUGCAUCCAAGAUAAAUAAAAGAGAUUGCCGCCUCUGGGUUAACUCUUUGAUAUACGAAAAAUGAGACUGGCUAUACACAUGCCUAGGAAAAAAAAUGUGAUUUACCGCCGCCGCCCUUUGGGGGGCUGAACUAGUACACGACAAACCACGGCAUUGGCCGAGAAAAAUUGCGUUAGUCGAUUUGCCGCCUUCGUCUUCCUCCUUGUACUCCUGUUGACCUGCGCCCCUCUCCCCUGCUUCAACGCCGGCGACCAUCCCAUGACGGCACACACACCUGCCAACCCUCGAUUUCUCUUUAGCCAUGUCAUCCCCGUCUCCAGAUUGUUCUCGACCCGGUCCAACCGGAGAUGACGUAUCGGCCCCGGUGCUAUGUGCCCGACCUUCUCUUUCAGGGAAACCAUCAUGCUGAUUCCGUUUUCAAGCAGCUGACGCUGGUUCCGUUUUCAAAUGAUCAACCAUUAGCAAACGCGCUGAAAAAUGGGGCCAAACCAAGUGGUUAAGCCGGGCCAUUGUUGGGGUGCAUGCGUACAAGCAGAUGCAUGGUGGUAGUUAUCCAGGUCGGUGUGUUAGGCGUCCAACUUUCGUAUGCCACUCGCGCUAACAGACUGAAGUUUAUGCAGGUGUCAAAGAAAAAAAAAAGACGAGAAGUUUAUGCAUGUGCUUCCAUUCCCAGCAUUGUGAUCAUAGCUUUGUGUGGCUCCAAGCAAGUGGCCCAACAAACUGAAGCCCCCACCACAAAUGCGUACAGCAGUGGGCACUUGAGCAACCCCCAGCCCCAGGACACCGAGAUGGACAAGAUCAAAAGUUAAAGUUUAGGACUGUUUACAUAGGUUCGGCAUCAUCACCGGAUCCACUUGUAUGGUCCACUGAUCCGCUGCAUGUUGUGCUGUGUGACUGUGUUCAAUAGGCCAACGUUUACUUUUACCUUUCGUUAUAGCAGCAAUGGCUGAUGAGGUUGGGCCCAGAUAGAUCUUUACACGUCUAUUGAAGGCUAAAAUUUCCUUUAAGAUUGAGGCUGUGCCUCAUUUGACAUAAUGCUAGGGGUGGGCAAAUGAAAGAGCUCUUUGGACACGCCUAGCAGAACCGACUACCGAAGCCCAAGCUGCGAGGCAAACUCUUCUCCACAUCAAAUUUUUUUUUUUCCAAAGCACCUCUCCACAUCAUUAUCAUCAUUGCAAAACAGAAAUAAGCACCCUAAAACCGCUGCCUCAAUAAACCACAUGGACAAGCCUAAAGACACCUCAAGAAAGGUUGCGGCACCCAUGAGCGCCACCAUCGCCGGUUCCGAUUAAGACCAAAAAGAGGAACUCUCCUGAAGAUGUACCGACCACCUGCUAUCGCCCGCACCAGCAGCCCACCGACUACCACCCACCAACCAACCCACCUGCCAAGGCCGACCCUGAUCUGACCGCAGGAUCCGAUGAUCCACUACACCGACCCUCGGCCAUAGCCGUCGCCCACAACCGUGAUCUUCACCACCAGGCAUCACCAGGAACCAGAUUAGAGACCCAACUCGCACCCGAUCAAGAUCAAAGCCGCUCGAGCGAAGCAGUAGAGCAGAGAACUAGCAGAGCCCUCCACCUUGCGCUCGGGAGACGUCACGCCUGCCACGCCCUGCAAUUCCCCGCGCCCAACAUGUGCCAGCCACUGCCGCGCCCAGCCGGUCGAUCCGCAUCCCAUGUAGACAUCCUGUGCCGAGCACCAAAUGUGUGCAGCCACAGCCGUACGCUGUCCACGCGCAGGUCACACCGGGUUCCACUCUACAGAAUCUCCUCUCCUGGCCAUCGGCUUCAAUAUGCCCCAUGUGUACAUCCAGAGAGCGGUACCAUUAGUUACAACUCAGGUAAGAUAGCAAAUGAUCUGCAUCCUUCCAUUCCUUCCACACAGACAGACUGCCGUUGUCGAUAUGGAAGGGCAUAUUAUUUGUACCAUAUGUCUGUAUGGCAACUAGUGGGUAGUGCUCGCAAUGCUCAUUGUGGAAGAUUUGGACAUUUCAAAGAGAGCAAACUGGGAAGUACAGCUGCAAUAAAGUCAGCAAAAGUGGGUGCAACCUAAAGGCAUCCUGAUAACAAAGGAACAUGAGAAUCACUUGAACAUGGUGUGUUCAACCCAAACCAUAGUUGCACAUGCUAACAUAGAACUGUGGUUAGAUAUAUGGCGGUCCUACAUUUAAACAUUCUGGUGAAAAUACUAUAGAUGCAAUUUGUCAAUAAUUAGGACACCAUGGCCGCAUGGAAUCAGGGAUGGACUAUUCAGAUCCUCAUCAGAAUAAACAAGUCAUUUUUACUGGCAAGUCUUCAGGUUAUCCCUACCGUGUCACAAUGCUGAGGGCAGAGGGCCUUCUGUAAAUCUCCCUAUCACUGCUUGUGAAUAUGCAGUAGGGACCCCCCCUCUUUACUAUAGUGUUGGCAAAGGAGAGAUACAAAAGGAGCAAAAUACACAGGAGCUCCUGGGUGCUUCACACCCCUAUACGAAUAUUAAUCGUAAAAAAUACCCAAAAAAAUAAAAAAUAUCUGAAAUUUGGGGAUAGUUCUCAAUCUACUCCCGUGUGAAAUUUCGUGAAAAAAAAUACCAGGAAACGUAUCCGUGGCGAAGGAAAUACUGUCCGAACAAAAAUCCGUCCAAACAGUUUUUUUCUAUACAUAGGAAUUUUGUCUUUACUGCCACAAAUACGUUUCCUGGUAUUUUUUCACGAAUUUUCACACGGAAGUAGAUCGGGACCCCAGGUUUGAUAUCCCAAAAUCUAAAAAAAAAAAUCGGUAUUUUUCUGAAUUUAAUGUUCGUAUAGGGGUGUGGAGCACCCGGGUGCUACAAAUCCGCUUCCUACAAAAGGAAGUCUUGUGAACCAAAGUAGCAAAUUCCUGACAAAUGACAACAUGUAAUCAGGGAAAAGGACAGUGGGACAUUAAGAAUUUAGAAACACAUACCUAAUUCGGUCGACACUAACUAUUCUGGUAUCUGAAGACCAGAUUCUGGCAAGAUACAGAUAAAUACUCCCUCCGUUCCUAAAUACUUGUCUUUUUAGAGAUUUCAAAUGGACUACCACAUAUGGAUGUAUAUAGACAUAUUUUAGAGUGUAGAUUCACUCAUUUUGCUCCGUAUCUAGUCACUUGUCGAAAUCUCUAGAAAGACAAAUAUUUAGGAACAGAGGGAGUAUAUAACAAUAGGGCAUGCAAUAAAACAGAAAGAACAGUAUGCUAAGACCCAGCAUGAAAAAUUGAAAAUAGUCAGCAUGGUUUUCAUAUAUAAGCAGCACAAGGCCAAGUUUUUGCAGCACCAUAUGUUUGGGAGGAAUGGGAGGUGAAAGGAAGCUGCAUACCUUUUGACCCAAAGUCUGGGAACUUUGUUCUUUCUCAAAAUCCCAAUGCUCGCAAAUCCAGCAGAAGAUGUCAAGGCACUAAUAAACUUCCUCCCGGCAUCUCAUAAUUCGCGCUCGAGUAAAAUGAAUCAGGAGAAUGUAGGUACAUUAUAAAAAUGCAGAACAUGAGACAGACAAGUAAACAGUACCAGAAUAGAAGCAUGCCUACGUAAUUAACAUAAUGAUGGAUAAGCAGAUUGCACGUGCAGUUUGGAGUGUUUUAGUAAGAAGAUAGCAAGAGUCACCAUAUUAUAAUUCAUGAAGCACUCGAGACAACAACAACAACACAUUUGCACACAGAUUAACAUACAUUUGCAAUUCCCUCACAAUCUAGCAUAUGGAUCAUGGAAACCAGAAGGGUCUUCUUUUAGAGCUACAACAAAAAGAGUUGGAGCUACUAUAGGGUAGUCUAACAUGCUAGCUUUCAAAUGUUGGAAGUUAAAUAAGAACAUUUAUCAUAAAGUGCUAAAAUGAGAGCAAAUUAAAGAUUGAUGGUCCUAGAUCACAUGUUCUGGUAAUGCUCAUGUUUA